Molecule: ribosomal RNA, 352 nt
Filed under: Ixodes scapularis (black-legged tick)
Lineage: Eukaryota; Metazoa; Arthropoda; Arachnida; Ixodida; Ixodidae
Description: partial 16S ribosomal RNA
Source: RNAcentral
GGUAUUGAAAUAAGAUUUUAAAUGAGUGCUAAGAGAAUGAUUAAACAAUUAAAAGCUUUCUUUAAUUAAAAAAUUAAAUUUAAUUUUUUUAGUGCAAAAGCAAAAAUAAAAUUUAGGGACAAGAAGACCCUAUGAAUUUUUAUUGUUAAUAAUUAAAAUUUAAGUUAUUAAUAAUUUAAUUGGGGCGAUAAAAAAAGAAUAAGUAUCUUUUUAGUUAUAAAAUAAGUUCCGUUUUUAGCGAUUAAAUGAAAUAAAUACUCUAGGGAUAACAGCGUAAUAAUUUUGGAUAGUUCAUAUAGAUAAAAUAGUUUACGACCUCGAUGUUGGAUUAGGAUUCUUUUUUGGUGAAGAA